GCAAGAGUGAAAGAAAUAGUAAAGAAACAUGUUGUUAUUGAUACUUGAAGAUUAACUAGGAUAUACCAGUAAGAAGCAAAGUGCAGAAAGGAAAAAUGAGUAACUUUUCACAGCCUAGCCUUGGCUUUUAGCCGGCUAGAUAAAAGAAAUAACACAAGUAGUAACAAAGAAAAAAGAGAGAGUUUAAGUGAAGUUUGUGUUCUAAACUCAGAUGGUUUGUUCGUGUCUUUGAAAGAAAAGAAGGUGUGUAUUUAUUGUUUUUAAAACAAGUGCAGAACAAGGUAAUAAGUAAAGUCUUAACACAAAUAUAGAAACAAUCACCAGUCAUAAUCAAUUACACAAGUGAUCCCCUUUAAUUAAGGAAUCACUGUUUAACGGAUAGUAACAGGUUCAAAGAAGGAAUGAAAUCAGUUUGAGAAUAGAUUGAUUAAUUCCAUAUAAGGGGUAGUAAAAGCAUGCAGCGAACAAUCAAAUCUGAGUACCAAAAAUACGCUUAUUUUAGGAUAGAAAUCAGCAAGGUAAAAAUAUCACAGUAAAGGGAAAAUAAUCAAUUAGUUUUAAACAGGCGAGUGAAAUUAGGGUUCAUAAAAGAAAAGCUUUUGAAAUCAGUCAUAAGAUCAAGGUCAAUCAAGGAAGAAACAUGCUUCAGCACUUUAGUAUAUAAAUAGAGUGAAUAAAACAUCAUCCGUGCUAGGCCAAGCACAUUGGCAAAAGAAAAAACAUACAAUGGUAGAAGAAAUAAGCAUAAGAUUCAGUAGAUAGUCAAGAUUCACACAUAUAGCCAAAGUGCAAAAGAGAGUCAAAACAAGUAAAGGUCUCACAGGAACAAGUGACGAAACCCUUUUGAGAAAUCUAGGUAUCAACAAGGGUUGAGUUGAAGAGAUAGUAAAACUCAGAAUCAGAUAAGUCACAUAUAGAAGAGAGAGUCACAAGCAAAGAACUUUAAUCGAAUCAAGUGCAUACUCAAAAAAUAGUUCCAGACCAAGAAGACCUAGGGUUUCCAACAAUAAUUGAGUUUAAAAGACAAUAAAACAAAUAAGUCAAAUAAGAACAAGGAACUUAAUCAAACACGUACACAUCUAACAAACAGUUUCAGGACUCGAACGAGACCACAAAAGGAACUAGGGUUUUAACAUGCUGAAAAAGAUAGAAGAACGACAUGAACAAAACAUAGCAAAAUCACAAACACAUUAAAAUCAGAGAUUGUUGAAAAGAAAAACUUAAAGGAAAACCCUAAUCGGAGAAGAUGAAGGGUCAUUUAGAAAGAAAGUUUUAAAAACUUUCGAGAAAACACUUAAAGCACUCAUAGCAAGUACAGAUCUAAAGUAGAUCUGAAAGAAAAAUCAAAAGAUCUUAAUGAUUAUGGUUUCGAAAAACCCAAAAAAGGUAAGAAAGACCUUGAAAGUUUCUUAUCUAACCGGGAAAGUCAAGGAUCUGCCUUAAAAGCCAUGAAUGGCAGGAGAAAGGUCAUGGAUGGCCGGAGAAAGGUCAUGGAUGGCCGGAGAAAAGCCGCGAACAAAAGUCAAGCAAGGACUGGACCAGAUUCCUUCGAGGACUCGCCAUGAAACCAUAAAAACCAACACCCAAGAGCCAUGGGAGGCUGAUACAUGUCUCAAAUGACCACGAGGGGCCAUGCCUUAGGAAGUUAUUAGGGUGGGGUAAGAGGGAGGCGGCUAGGGUUCAUGAGAGUUUC
Molecule: long non-coding RNA, 1693 nt
Filed under: Nicotiana benthamiana
Lineage: Eukaryota; Viridiplantae; Streptophyta; Magnoliopsida; Solanales; Solanaceae
Description: long non-coding RNA (NBEN_LNC030946)
Source: RNAcentral